CCUACGGGUGACAGCAGUGGGGGAUAUUGCACAAUGGGGGGAACCCUGAUGCAGCGACGCCGCGUGGGUGAAGAAGCGCCUCGGCGCGUAAAGCCCUGUCAGCAGGGAAGAAAAUGACGGUACCUGACGAAGAAGCCCCGGCUAACUACGUGCCAGCAGCCGCGGUAAUACGUAGGGGGCAAGCGUUCUCCGGAUUUACUGGGUGUAAAGGGGGCGCAGACGGCGAUGCAAGCCAGGCGUGAAAGCCCGGGGCCCAACCCCGGGACUGCUCGUGGAACUGCGUGGCUGGAGUGCAGGAGGGGCAGGCGGAAUUCCUGGUGUAGCGGCGAAAUGCGUAGAUAUCAGGAGGAACACCGGUGGCGAAGGCGGCCUGCUGGACUGCAACUGACGUUGAGGCCCGAAAGCGUGGGGAGCAAACAGGAUUAGAUACCCCAGUAGUC
RNAcentral lists this ribosomal RNA (440 nucleotides) under uncultured bacterium. RNAcentral describes it as "partial 16S ribosomal RNA". It matches the Rfam family "Bacterial small subunit ribosomal RNA", at positions 338 to 795 of the family's 1533-position model. The record is from RNAcentral.